CUAAGAAUCUUCCGCAAUGGACGAAAGUCUGACGGAGCGACGCCGCGUGGAUGAUGAAGGCGCUUUGCGUUGUAAAGUCCUUUUAUAGAGGAAGAACAAUGACUGUACUCUAUGAAUAAGCAUCGGCUAAUUACGUGCCAGCAGCCGCGGUAAUACGUAAGAUGCAAGCGUUAUCCGGAAUUACUGGGCGUAAAGGGUGCGCAGGCUGUUAAUUAAGUCGGGUGUGAAAUCCCACGGCUCAACCGUGGAACUGCGCCCGAAACUAAUUGGCUAGAGUCUGGGAGAGGAAGACGGAAUUCCUGGUGUAGGAGUGAAAUCUAUAGAUAUCAGGAAGAACACCGGUGGCGAAGGCGGUCUUCUGGCCUAAGACUGACGCUAAAGCACGAAAGUGUGGGGAGCAAACGGG
This 406-nucleotide ribosomal RNA is filed under the name uncultured bacterium. RNAcentral describes it as "bacterial SSU rRNA". It matches the Rfam family "Bacterial small subunit ribosomal RNA", at positions 355 to 776 of the family's 1533-position model. The record is from RNAcentral.